This 253-nucleotide ribosomal RNA is filed under the name uncultured bacterium. RNAcentral describes it as "partial 16S ribosomal RNA". It matches the Rfam family "Bacterial small subunit ribosomal RNA", at positions 524 to 776 of the family's 1533-position model. The record is from RNAcentral.
UACGUAGGGUGCAAGCGUUGUCCGGAAUUAUUGGGCGUAAAGAGCUCGUAGGCGGUUUGUCGCGUCGAAUGUGAAAACCCGGGGCUCAACCCCGGGCCUGCAUUCGAUACGGGCAGACUAGAGUUCGGUAGGGGAGUCUGGAAUUCCUGGUGUAGCGGUGAAAUGCGUAGAUAUCGAGAGGAACACCGGCGGCGAAGGCGGCCAUCUGGACGAGGACUGACGCUGAGAUGCGAAAGCGUGGGGAGCAAACAGG